This 490-nucleotide ribosomal RNA is filed under the name Phialocephala cf. fortinii GMU_LL_04_F1. RNAcentral's name for it is "eukaryotic LSU rRNA". The stretch from base 135 to 288 matches the Rfam family "5.8S ribosomal RNA". Lineage: Eukaryota; Fungi; Ascomycota; Leotiomycetes; Helotiales; Mollisiaceae. The record is from RNAcentral.
UUACACCCACCCGUGUCUACAUACUAUUGUUGCUUUGGCGGGCCGUGGCCUCCACUGCGGGCUCUGCUCGUGUGUGCCCGCCAGAGAACCAAACUCUGAAUGUUAGUGAUGUCUGAGUACUAUCUAAUAGUUAAAACUUUCAACAACGGAUCUCUUGGUUCUGGCAUCGAUGAAGAACGCAGCGAAAUGCGAUAAGUAAUGUGAAUUGCAGAAUUCAGUGAAUCAUCGAAUCUUUGAACGCACAUUGCGCCCUGUGGUAUUCCGCAGGGCAUGCCUGUUCGAGCGUCAUUUAACCACUCACGCCUAGCGUGGUAUUGGGGCACGCGGUCUCCGCGGCCCUCAAAAUUAGUGGCGGCGCCGGUGGGCUCUAAGCGUAGUACAUACUCCCGCUAUAGAGUUCCCCCGGUGGCUCGCCAGAACCCCCAAUUUUUACAGGUUGACCUCGGAUCAGGUAGGGAUACCCGCUGAACUUAAGCAUAUCAAUAAGCGG